UAACUUCUUUUCUAGCCUAUCUUGGACUUAUAAGAACUUCCCAAGGAGCAACCAAAAAGAAAUUUGCUUCAAAUUAAAAUUCUUGAAUUCAGAAGGUGUUUCAUCACUCUCAGAGAAGCUCCCUGUUCCCAACGAAGCUUCACAAACAUUUAAAACCCCUACUGGAGGGGACAUGGAUUUAACUGUUUGGUAAGAACACUUCAAGUCCGGGACAGACAACCCUUGGAGAUCUGAGUGCAACUUUUGGUACAUGCUGGAAACACAUACAGCAAUUCCCUAUGCUGCUUUAAUGACAGUGUGGAGUGGCUGUUUUGGAAAAAACAAGUUCCUCAGUUUUGGAGAUUCAGUUCUGUACCUGACUUCUGAAUAUACUUUUUUGGGAGGUUGUUUGUUCUGUUAUAGCAACACUUGCCAUUCAAGAAUUUCCUGAUUUUUCAAAACUAAAAUACCCCAACCAUCACAAUGCCCUUCCUUUCUUUUACAGAAUUCUUGAUUCUCUACAUAGGUAGUUUAAUUUUCUAGAAAAUGAAAAAAACUAUCAAGAGAAACAGGUUUUUUACCUCUGUUUAAUUCUUUGUGUUUUGAGUAGUGUGUUCAGAGACAAGAGGACCAUGACGCUCUCGCUGAAGGUGUGAGCAUGCAAUAUAUGACGGAAAGUAGCAUUAAUACCCUGCCAUAAGAAGGUGACAAAUACAGACCUUAGAAAAUGCUUUUAAAGAUAAGUGUUAUUUCUGUUAUGCCAUUGAAGAGGCACAGAACUGCCACUACUGGAAUUUCAAAUGAAACCUCAGUUUACUCCUGGAAGCUACUGAUUUUCAGAGUCUCAUGUGCAGUCUAAGGUCCUGAAUUCUGCUUGCAUUGCGUUUUUACUGACUCCACUGAGGACACACUGGACUCCAAGGGGCCAUAAUUAAGGAGGAAGGACAAAUGCCCUGACAGGACAACUCUGAAUAUAGGAUGUUAUUGUGGAUGUUAUUUCUGCAUGGUUUUGAUGAUAAAUAUUGUUCUGCAUAAAGCAAAAUAGUUGAUAGCUCAAUCUGAUGGACAUAAUUAGUUCUUUUUUUUACUCUGUGUGUGUCUUUGUAACAGUUACUUCUUCAUUACUGAUACUUCUAAUGUUAAUUACUAAAAAUUAUUAGCUUGAACAGCACUUCAUCCCAAAAAGGUGUGUAAAAGUGCAUCAGUGUUGUCCUUUUGAAAUGCUGAUGUGGUAGUGUAAAGGCCAUAAAUCAUUCCUGUGAACCAAAAUAUCAUUUGCUACUGUCAGAAGGCAAGUUAACAGUAUUACAACUUUGUUGAAAUUUGAAUGCAUUCCACGUUCAAUUUUUUUAAUAAGAACUGUAAAUAACAGGCCAUUUUGAAGUAUAAUAAAUGAUCCUUUCCAAAGUCUAAUGAUAGCUUACUUUAGUUAUAGCCAUUCUUUUAUAGCAAUAGACAGCUUUAAAAAAUCAUUCUUGCCGCAUACACAUAAUUUUAAGGAGCUGGCAUAAAGUUUUGGAGCAAGUCCAUUCAUUUAAUUUACACAGACAGGAUAAGUACUAGGAGUAUCUUUGAUGACCUAAAUCUCAUUUUAUACAGAAAGCUGCCUUAUCUUCUGGAUUUUGCACAUAGUAUUUUCUUCUCAGGUAUUUCAUAUUCUAGAGAGUUCCUUUCUACUUAGGGUAUUGUUUAUCCUCAUUGAUCAAACUCAUCAAUCAGAGGCUAAAGAUUUAGUGUGCCUCUGGUUCAGUAUUUAAAAAAAAAUAAGAUUAAAAAAAUUAAUGAAGGAUCUAUUAAAAACUUUCCUCUGAAUUUGCAAUCUCUGAAGAAUCAUAUUUUCCAGGUAUUAUUGGAUCCUAAAGAGUAAUAUUUAAUAUUUUUUUUAAUUAAGUAAAGCACCAAUUCCAACUUAAUCACUCAGACUUGGAAGUUGCAAAUUUAAAAAACACAACAAGAUUUAUUACAUCCUUGAGAGGUCAAAAUAACGCAGCCAUAUUAUUAGCAUUAACGACAGCAUUAUAGUGUUCUUCACCUACAUAAUAACAGGUAGCUAUUUUCAAGUGAACUAAGCUUCAAGUGUUCUGAAAAAAAAAAAAAAAGAGUAGAAAAACCAAGUCCCCUUCAAAGAAAUCCAUGUAUUUUUCUAGCCCUGGUGAGGCUGUGAUUUUGUUGUUUGAAAGCAGAAGGAUGAAAAAUACUACAUGCCUUAAUGCAUCAUGAAAAGAAAUGAUAGGAUAAACUUCAGUUUGAAACCACAAAUAUCUGGUGUGGAAGAAGAAAACAAAUGGGUUUUCACUAUGAUGUUUUGACUGCUUGUUGUUCCCCCUUACUGCAGUUUUAACAGUGCCCCAAUCACCACAGGAUGGGAGCAUGUUAUAUGGAGACUACAGCUAUGAAAAACUCUCAAAUUAGAGUUGUGGCUGAGGAAAAAAAGAGAAAUUAUUUGUUAUGAGCGGGUAUUUUUUUUUCCUUCAAAUUUUGCUGGUGGUCUCAUUUAUUCUUGAAGAGGAAGAUGUGACAUUCUUGCUUCCCACCUUUGUCCUACAGGUCGACCAUCACCUGGCACAGCCUUUACUGUCCUGUUUGCACUACUUUAUUUUUUCACAAAGUGUAACUUUUCAUGGUAGUUGGAAAGAUGAAAAGCUGUUUCUGGAAUAAACAGCAACACAAACCAGCCAAUUCUGCGCAGCAUAAUGGGAUUUUAAUGUAUUCUUCUUGUCGGCAUAGUGUAUUUCUGUGAUAAUUUUAUGUGACAGCAUAAUUAAACUGGAAAACAAUUCCCAUUUCCUAUGUAUUUUAUCUAUUUAUCAUCAUUUAUUUCUUUACUUUCUUGCUCUGCUAUAAAUAUUAUUGUAAGGAGAGUUAAAUAAGUUAAACCAAUGCAAUUACUUUUACAGAUUGAAAUUAACUUCAUAUAUCAAUUUAUACUGGUUUGUAUACAGCACCUACUAUUUGCCCUGUACAAAUAAAUGCAUUUGUUGUGGUAUA
Molecule: long non-coding RNA, 2967 nt
Organism: Corvus hawaiiensis (hawaiian crow)
Lineage: Eukaryota; Metazoa; Chordata; Aves; Passeriformes; Corvidae
Exons: 3
Source: RefSeq, a predicted model, not a curated record